RNAcentral lists this ribosomal RNA (74 nucleotides) under Globisporangium splendens. Its description in RNAcentral is "partial 18S ribosomal RNA". Lineage: Eukaryota; Oomycota; Peronosporomycetes; Pythiales; Pythiaceae. The record is from RNAcentral.
CUGCGGAAGGAUCAUUACCACACCANAAAAACUUUCCACGUGAACUGUCAUUGCAUGUUCUGUGCCUUUAAUNA